AAUUUGAUAUAUACUAUUUAUCCUAUAAUUUGUAGAUCAUUACAUGCAAUGAUGAAGGUGGGAAUGAUCCUUGAAGGAGUACUUCUCAAUUAAUGAUUUCGCUUGGAUGUACAACUCGCAACAAGUUUGGUGGUCGACCUGGCCUGCUAGGAAAGAUCAUACAUAGCGUGUCGACUACAUGAAAAAAAGUCAUGUCACAUGCUACACAGAUGGAUAGAUAGAUAUUUGAAGAAAAGAAAAGUCCAGUAAAUAAUACGGCUCAUGAGUUGUACAUGUUACUCGUUGUCAGACUUGCUCCAUGAUUGCCAAGUUCUUCGGUGGUGUUGGGCACAAUAUAUAUAGCCUGAAUAUUUCACAAUAUCUAUUCAUAUUUGAGCUAUCAUGCCCUCUCUUUCUUUUUCUGCGAUGCAGCCAUGGGCUCAUUUAGGCUGAAAUCAGGAUGUGAUUUCUGUCUUGCAAAUAUCUGUUUGAUUGAGCUAGGUAUAGUGUCUACACCAAAUGUUUUGUCGUGUGAUGAGGCAGACAUGAGUUGAGAUAUUAGAGAAAACUGAAUAUCUCAUGUAUUCCACGUUAACUCCACAUUCAAGGUACAGGACGGCCGUCCCUUCGGAUCGUAUAUCGAUGCAUGCUUCUUGAACAUGGUCUCGAAGGCUUCACAUGGCAUGUUCAGCGGUACCUUCCUCCGGCAUUGUCCGCACCAUAGGCCGCACGCGGAUCCAUGCGGCAUCUGCUUCUCGCCUCUGCUCCGCUCACGCGACGUGCCCCCCACGACUACUGCCACCACCAGCUCCGGAAGAAUGGUCUCAGCUAACCUGGGAGUGGAGGCGCGGCCUGAAUCCGCCUCCACCUCCACCUUUGACGAGCCGCCAAACUGUUUGCUGUCAGCCGGGUUCGCGGCCCGAGUGCCUAGGUGCUUUGCGGUCAACGGUGGCCAGCGUGGCAGCGUUGCGGACGCGUCUCUCGGCUUUCGGAUCCGCCUCGUCCUAGAGUUCGCCCCCUCCAGUCCUCAUGGCUUAUAUCAUGUCAAUCUAGUAUGUAGUUUUAGCGAUCAAAUUGAGCGGCACAAUACAAUUCUUUGCUUGUGAUCUAUUGAGUCCGAAAAUUGAGCAUUCAAAGGGCUUAAAGGUGGUCUUUGUUUGGGCUACGGCUACAGAUUCAUGGAUUCUAGGUUCUAGAAAAUCAGAAUUUUAAACAAGCAUGCAGAUUUCCAACGUGGUAGCUUCCUAGAAUCGAUUCCCAAAAAUGAACUACUCAAUCCCGCAGUUGUCAAUUCGGUGAUUCCCGAGCUGCCACUUAUCCCCACUCGAGUAUAUAUACUUUUUUCUUCUUUCCGUUUUAUGGACGUGGCUACCUAGCACAACAUCUAUAGACAACCAACCAUGUGUAUUUAUUAGCGUUUUAAAAAAUUCAAAGAGUCAUAACUUUUGAACCGAUCACUAGAAUGUCGAUCCAUUUUCACGGUUGUGUUUCUUAUGAUGAGCUCUACAAAACUAGAUCCCAUAUGAAUAGGUUUCGACGAACUUUUUUUUAACAACAUUAUGUGCUAGAUGAGGCAACUUUAGUGCUAUAGGCAAGCAACUUCUUUCCCCCUUAGUUUGACAAUCUAUCAGCGAAGAAUUAUUCUAAGUUGGUUACCACGACUAAUAGUUGACUAGAUUCAUUUCUAAAAGCUUUGCAUAAUUAAACAAUGAUGAUCAGUUGCCUAUGACCGAUGCUCAGUUGUCUACAAAUACUGUGAAAUUGCUCAAUUUUUAUGAUCAGUUGCCUAC
Molecule: long non-coding RNA, 1769 nt
Filed under: Hordeum vulgare
Lineage: Eukaryota; Viridiplantae; Streptophyta; Magnoliopsida; Poales; Poaceae
Description: long non-coding RNA (HVUL_LNC017408)
Source: RNAcentral